AAACUGGCGAGAAUCGCGCAGAUUUCAUAUCUGUGAGGAAAGUCCGUGCUCGCACAGGCUGCGAUGCCUGUAGUGUUCGUGCCUAGCGAAACCGUAAGCUAGGGCAGCCCAUAUAAUGGGUUGACGGCAGGGAAAAUACCUACGUCCAUUUGGAUAUGGUAUGACUACCUUGAAAGUGCCACAGUGACGGAGCUCCAAUGGAAACAUUGGAGGUGGAACGAGGUAAACCCCACGAGCGAGAAACCCAAAUUUGGUAGGGGAAGUGUCUGGAGGGAAUUGAACCGAAAAGACACCAUAGCCAUUUAGGCUAUGAGAUAGAUGAUUCUCCAUUCAAGUGCAAGAAUACUCUUUUGCGUAUUCGUUUGCAGCACUGAAUGAACAGAACACGGCUUACGAGG
Molecule: RNase P RNA, 398 nt
Filed under: Bacillus sp. (in: firmicutes)
Lineage: Bacteria; Bacillati; Bacillota; Bacilli; Caryophanales; Bacillaceae
Description: Bacillus sp. (in: Bacteria) RNase P RNA component class B
Rfam family: Bacterial RNase P class B
About the family: Ribonuclease P (RNase P) is a ubiquitous endoribonuclease, found in archaea, bacteria and eukarya as well as chloroplasts and mitochondria.
Source: RNAcentral